CUACGGGAGGCUGCAGUGUGGGAUAUUGCGCAAUGGGGGAAACCCUGACGCAGCGACGCCGCGUGGGCGAUGAAGGCUUUCGUAGUUGUAAAGCCCUUUUAGGAGAGACGAAUCGGUUCAGGCCCAAUAAGCCUGUUCCUAGACGGUACCUCCUGAAUAAGCAACGGCUAACUCCGUGCCAGCAGCCGCGGUAAUACGGAGGUUGCAGUGUUGUUCGGAUUCACUGGGCGUAAAGCGCGCGUAGGCGGCCUUCCAAGUCAGGCGUGAAAGCCCUUGGCUCAACUGAGGAACUGCGCUUGAUACUGUUGGGCUUGAGUUCGGUAGAGGGGAGUGGAAUUCCCGGUGUAGCGGUGAAAUGCGUAGAUAUCGGGAAGAACACCGGUGGCGAAGGCGUCUCCCUGGACCGAUACUGACGCUCAGGCGCGAAAGCCAGGGGAGCGAAGGGGAUUAGAUACCCUGGUAGUC
Molecule: ribosomal RNA, 465 nt
Filed under: uncultured bacterium
Lineage: Bacteria
Description: partial 16S ribosomal RNA
Rfam family: Bacterial small subunit ribosomal RNA
Source: RNAcentral